Calidris pugnax (ruff) is the source of this 1428-nucleotide long non-coding RNA. RefSeq lists it as uncharacterized. The transcript is spliced from 3 exons. Lineage: Eukaryota; Metazoa; Chordata; Aves; Charadriiformes; Scolopacidae. The record is from RefSeq and is a predicted model, not a curated record.
AGCUGUUGAGGAAAGCUCACUCUGAAAAGAGAACAAUGCUGCUGAAAACCUUUGGGCUGCUUCUGUGGAGCUGGACCAUCGUGUGAGCUAACAAAUCGGCCUUGCAUUUUGUCUGAAAUCGGUGAAAUGGGCGAUGUUUUCAGAGAAUUUGUUCUUGGUGACUGCUGAAAAUCAACAGUUGACUUUUGGUGCAGCUGGAGUGUAGGUCAUCGAGCUGAACUCUCCUGUUUAAGUGAAUUUCCACCUCAUGAGGGGCUAAAUCUGGAGCCUUAAACUAUCCAGAAACCCUGGACCAGAUGUCAAACCUGUGACCAGAUGUCAAACCUGGACCAGAUGUCAAACCUGUCCUAUCCAGGUGAGCACAGGGGGGCUGGAAACCCUCUCGUGGAAGUAAAACCUGAAAAAGCCCAAUUCUGUAGCAGGGCAUUAAUUGUGCAGCAGCAGAACCUCUGUCAGGUUUGCCCAGCAGAUGCCAGCAGUGAAUUAGAGCUUGUGGGAAAAUAAAAGGAGCUCAAUAUGUGACUGUUGCAAACACUUCACUGCUUAAAGCAUGAUUGCUUGGAAUUGAUUAAUUUUAUUAUUUUUUUUUCAUUAAGGUUGAUUUUUACUGUGAAGACCCUCGUUUUAUUCUCUGAAUCCCUGAGGCUUGGGUUUCUAGAAAACAUUCAGGUUCAGAUUUGGUCCAUGGCUCAUAAUAAUGGGCUUUCACAUAAACAACGGGAUUAAGUUACUUAUUUCAAAGAUGUUUUAGGUUUAGCCUUUUGACACCUUUUAUAUUUUUUUACCCGACCUGUUCUCUUCCUGUUUACUGUCCUUUUCAGAGUAAGAGCCAUAACUCUUCUUGUUUACUGCCCCUCUCAGUUGGAAUUAUAAAUUUGACCUGACAUUAAGCUGUUCCUUUUUGUACUGGAGAAAAAAAAAAAAACAACAACCCAAACCCAUGAAGUCAUAUGGUGUUAUCCUUCACUUUCACUGAACCAUCUGGGCUCCUGGAGCCAGAGCUGAAAACUGUCAACGUCUCCUGACGGGAAGCAAAGAGACUGAGCUAAAAGGGAAGUUCAGGCUGGAGAAUCCCCUGGUAGAAGUUCUUGAGCAGUUCAGUGCUGGAGGAAGGAAGUCGUUGUCUUGUCCUGCCCCAGAGCCACAGCGAUAGGGAGCAUACAUCGGACUUCUGGCCUUUGACUAACUAACAUCAUUAAAUUAUAUGUUCUUUCAUUGAUCCCUUGGAAAACUCAGCCUUGUUGAACAAGUAUUUGAUUUGGGGCAGCAAGGGGCAGAGAUGAACAAAAACAUCCAAGGCCAAAAUAUAUCAUCACUAUAAAUAGUGACCUUUGCAAUAUUCCCAUUGUUAAUUGAAUUACGUUAUUAAGAGAAGCUACUGAGUUACUACCUAACUACUGUCAGGCAGUAGUGGUUAGUCCAGAGGGA